GACGAACGCUGGCGGCGUGCUUAACACAUGCAAGUCGAACGAUGAAGCCGGAGCUUGCUCCGGUGGAUUAGUGGCGAACGGGUGAGUAACACGUGAGCAAUCUGCCCUUGACUCUGGGAUAACUGCGGGAAACUGUAGCUAAUACCGGAUACGACACCUUGGGGCAUCCCAGGGUGUGGAAAGAAUUUCGGUCAAGGAUGAGCUCGCGGCCUAUCAGCUAGUUGGUGAGGUAAUGGCUCACCAAGGCGACGACGGGUAGCCGGCCUGAGAGGGUGACCGGCCACCGUGGAACUGAGACACGGUCCAGACUCCUACGGGAGGCAGCAGUGGGGAAGAUUGCACAAUGGGCGAAAGCCUGAUGCAGCAACGCCGCGUGAGGGAUGAAGGCCUUCGGGUUGUAAACCUCUUUUAGCAGGGAAGAAGCGAAAGUGACGGUACCUGCAGAAAAAGCACCGGCUAACUACGUGCCAGCAGCCGCAGUAA
This 483-nucleotide ribosomal RNA is filed under the name uncultured bacterium. RNAcentral's name for it is "partial 16S ribosomal RNA". It matches the Rfam family "Bacterial small subunit ribosomal RNA", at positions 28 to 523 of the family's 1533-position model. The record is from RNAcentral.